AUUGAACGCUGGCGGCAUGCCUAACACAUGCAAGUCGAGCGGAUGAAGGGAGCUUGCUCCUGGAUUCAGCGGCGGACGGGUGAGUAAUGCCUAGGAAUCUGCCUUGUAGUGGGGGAUAACGUCCGGACACGGGCGCGAAUACCGUAUAGGUCCUGAGGGUGAAAGGGGGGGAUCUUCGGACCUCACGCUAUCAGAUGAGCCUAGGUCGGAUUAGCUAGUUGGUGGGGUAAAGGCCUACCAAGGCAACGAUCCGUAACUGGUCUGAGAGGAUGAUCAGUCACACUGGAACUGAGACACGGUCCAGACUCCUACGGGAGGCAGCAGUGGGGAAUAUUGGACAAUGGGCGAAAGCCUGAUCCAGCCAUGCCGCGUGUGUGAAGAAGGUCUUCGGAUUGUAAAGCACUUUAAGUUGGGAGGAGGGGCAGUAAGUUAAUACCUUGCUGUUUUGACGUUACCAACAGAAUAAGCACCGGCUAACUUCGUG
This 484-nucleotide ribosomal RNA is filed under the name uncultured bacterium. Its description in RNAcentral is "partial 16S ribosomal RNA". It matches the Rfam family "Bacterial small subunit ribosomal RNA", at positions 30 to 507 of the family's 1533-position model. The record is from RNAcentral.